CCUACGGGAGGCAGCAGUGGGGAAUAUUGGACAAUGGGCGCAAGCCUGAUCCAGCCAUACCGCGUGUGUGAAGAAGGUCUUCGGAUUGUAAAGCACUUUAAGUUGGGAGGAAGGGCAGUAACCUAAUACGUUAUUGUUUUGACGUUACCGACAGAAUAAGCACCGGCUAACUCUGUGCCAGCAGCCGCGGUAAU
Molecule: ribosomal RNA, 194 nt
Filed under: uncultured Pseudomonas sp.
Lineage: Bacteria; Pseudomonadati; Pseudomonadota; Gammaproteobacteria; Pseudomonadales; Pseudomonadaceae
Description: partial 16S ribosomal RNA
Rfam family: Bacterial small subunit ribosomal RNA
Source: RNAcentral